Molecule: transfer RNA, 73 nt
Organism: Ipomoea nil (Japanese morning glory)
Lineage: Eukaryota; Viridiplantae; Streptophyta; Magnoliopsida; Solanales; Convolvulaceae
Rfam family: tRNA
About the family: Transfer RNA (tRNA) molecules are approximately 80 nucleotides in length. Their secondary structure includes four short double-helical elements and three loops (D, anti-codon, and T loops). Further hydrogen bonds mediate the characteristic L-shaped molecular structure. tRNAs have two regions of fundamental functional importance: the anti-codon, which is responsible for specific mRNA codon recognition, and the 3' end, to which the tRNAs corresponding amino acid is attached (by aminoacyl-tRNA synthetases). tRNAs cope with the degeneracy of the genetic code in two manners: having more than one tRNA (with a specific anti-codon) for a particular amino acid; and 'wobble' base-pairing, i.e. permitting non-standard base-pairing at the 3rd anti-codon position.
Source: Rfam
GGGGAUGUAGCUCAGAUGGUAGAGCGCUCGCUUCGCAUGCGAGAGGUACGAGAAUCGAUACCCCGCAUCUCCA